AAGAAGCGCAAUGUGAUCCUCUCGGCGAUCAU
This 32-nucleotide non-coding RNA is filed under the name Geobacter sulfurreducens KN400. Lineage: Bacteria; Pseudomonadati; Thermodesulfobacteriota; Desulfuromonadia; Geobacterales; Geobacteraceae. The record is from RNAcentral.